AGCAAGCACCGGCUAACUCCGUGCCAGCAGCCGCGGUAAUACGGAGGGUGCAAGCGUUACUCGGAAUCACUGGGCGUAAAGCGCGCGCAGGCGGCUAUUUAAGUUGGAUGUGAAAGCCUACGGCUCAACCGUAGAACUGCAUCCAAAACUAUUUAGCUAGAGUGUGGGAGAGGAAGAUGGAAUUAGUUGUGUAGGGGUAAAAUCCGUAGAGAUAACUAGGAAUACCAAAAGCGAAGGCAAUCUUCUGGAACACUACUGACGCUGAGGCGCGAAAGCGUGGGGAGCAAACAGGAUUAGAUACCCUGGUAGUCCACGCAGUAAACGAUGAAUGUUAGUCGUCGGGGGCCUAGUGUCUUCGGUGAUGCAGCUAACGCAUUAAACAUUCCGCCUGGGGAGUACGGUCGCAAGAUUAAAACUCAAAGGAAUAGACGGGGACCCGCACAAGUGGUGGAGCAUGUGGUUUAAUUCGAAGAUACGCGAAGAACCUUACCUAGCCUUGACAUAUCUUAAAACUCCGCAGAGAUGUAGAGGUGCCUUCGGGAGCUAAUAUACAGGUGCUGCACGGCUGUCGUCAGCUCGUGUCGUGAGAUGUUGGGUUAAGUCCCGCAACGAGCGCAACCCUCGUCACUAGUUACUAACGGUUCGGCCGAGGACUCUAGUGAGACUGCCUUCGUAAGGAGGAGGAAGGUGAGGACGACGUCAAGUCAUCAUGGCCCUUACGGCUAGGGCAACACACGUGCUACAAUGGUUAGGACAAUGAGACGCGAUACCGCGAGGUGGAGCAAAUCUAUAAACCUAAUCUCAGUUCGGAUUGUUCUCUGCAACUCGAGAACAUGAAGCUGGAAUCACUAGUAAUCGUAGAUCAGCUAUGCUACGUGAAUACGUUCCCGGGUCUUGUACUCACCGCCCGUCACACCAUGGGAGUUGAUUUCACCCGAAGCGGGGAA
This 947-nucleotide ribosomal RNA is filed under the name uncultured bacterium. RNAcentral describes it as "bacterial SSU rRNA". It matches the Rfam family "Bacterial small subunit ribosomal RNA", at positions 485 to 1433 of the family's 1533-position model. The record is from RNAcentral.